Molecule: ribosomal RNA, 445 nt
Filed under: uncultured bacterium
Lineage: Bacteria
Description: partial 16S ribosomal RNA
Rfam family: Bacterial small subunit ribosomal RNA
Source: RNAcentral
GUGAGGAAUAUUGGUCAAUGGACGGAAGUCUGAACCAGCCAUGCCGCGUGCAGGAUGACGGCCCUAUGGGUUGUAAACUGCUUUUACACGGGGAUAAAGUGUGCGACGUGUCGUUCAUUGCAGGUACCGUGCGAAUAAGGACCGGCUAAUUCCGUGCCAGCAGCCGCGGUAAUACGGAAGGUCCGGGCGUUAUCCGGAUUUAUUGGGUUUAAAGGGAGCGUAGGCCGUCUGUUAAGCGUGUUGUGAAAUGUAGAUGCUCAACAUCUGAAGUGCAGCGCGAACUGAACGACUUGAGUGCGCAGGAAGUAGGCGGAAUUCGUGGUGUAGCGGUGAAAUGCUUAGAUAUCACGAAGAACUCCGAUUGCGAAGGCAGCUUACUGUAGCGCCACUGACGCUGAAGCUCGAAAGUGCGGGUAUCGAACAGGAUUAGAUACCCGGGUAGUCC